This 497-nucleotide ribosomal RNA is filed under the name uncultured bacterium. RNAcentral's name for it is "partial 16S ribosomal RNA". It matches the Rfam family "Bacterial small subunit ribosomal RNA", at positions 28 to 507 of the family's 1533-position model. The record is from RNAcentral.
GAUGAACGCUGGCGGCGUGCCUAAUACAUGCAAGUCGAGCGAACAGACGAGGAGCUUGCUCCUCUGACGUUAGCGGCGGACGGGUGAGUAACACGUGGAUCACCUACCUAUAAGACUGGGAUAACUUCGGGAAACCGGAGCUAAUACCGGAUAAUAUAUUGAACCGCAUGGUUCAAUAGUGAAAGACGGUUUUGCUGUCACUUAUAGAUGGAUCCGCGCCGCAUUAGCUAGUUGGUAAGGUAACGGCUUACCAAGGCGACGAUGCGUAGCCGACCUGAGAGGGUGAUCGGCCACACUGGAACUGAGACACGGUCCAGACUCCUACGGGAGGCAGCAGUAGGGAAUCUUCCGCAAUGGGCGAAAGCCUGACGGAGCAACGCCGCGUGAGUGAUGAAGGUCUUCGGAUCGUAAAACUCUGUUAUUAGGGAAGAACAACUGUGUAAGUAACUAUGCACGUCUUGACGGUACCUAAUCAGAAAGCCACGGCUAACUACGUG